GCGGGUGUAGUUCAACGGCUAGAACUUCAGGCUUCCAUCCUGACGAUAGGGGUUCGAUUCCCCUCACCCGCUCCA
Molecule: transfer RNA, 75 nt
Filed under: Ilumatobacteraceae bacterium
Lineage: Bacteria; Bacillati; Actinomycetota; Acidimicrobiia; Acidimicrobiales; Ilumatobacteraceae
Also listed under: 1 other name
Description: tRNA-Gly
Rfam family: tRNA
About the family: Transfer RNA (tRNA) molecules are approximately 80 nucleotides in length. Their secondary structure includes four short double-helical elements and three loops (D, anti-codon, and T loops).
Source: RNAcentral